This 468-nucleotide ribosomal RNA is filed under the name uncultured bacterium. RNAcentral's name for it is "partial 16S ribosomal RNA". It matches the Rfam family "Bacterial small subunit ribosomal RNA", at positions 28 to 507 of the family's 1533-position model. The record is from RNAcentral.
GACGAACGCUGGCGGCGUGCUUAACACAUGCAAGUCGAACGGAAAGGCCCUGCUUUUGUGGGGUGCUCGAGUGGCGAACGGGUGAGUAACACGGGAGUAACCUGCCCUUGACUUUGGGAUAACUUCAGGAAACUGGGGCUAAUACCGGAUAGGAGCUCCUGCGGCAUGGUGGGGGUUGGAAAGGUUCGGCGGUUGGGUGUGGACUCGCGGUUUAACAGCUUGGUGGUGGGGUAGUGGCUUACCAAGGCUUGGACGGGUAGCCGGCCUGAGAGGGUGACCGGCAAUAUUGGGACUGAGAUACCGCCCAGACUCCGACGGGAGGCAGCAGUGGGGAAUAUUGCACAAUGGGAGGAAGCCUGAUGCAGCAACGCCGCGUGCGGGAUGACGGCCUUCGGGUUGUAACCCGCUUUCGCCUGUGACGAAGCGUGAGUGACGGUAAUGGGUAAAGAAGCACCGGCUAACUACGUG